This is a long non-coding RNA of Pogonomyrmex barbatus (red harvester ant), 470 nucleotides long. The record is from RefSeq and is a predicted model, not a curated record. Lineage: Eukaryota; Metazoa; Arthropoda; Insecta; Hymenoptera; Formicidae.
AUUCUGAAUCUCUUUCAUGAUGACCGCUUACGGUCGUCUAAUUCUUACAACAGAUUGUCCGCCGACUUAUAUUUCAGUCCCAGGAGACCCUGCAGAUGAGCAAUUAUUAUAAUGACCGUUCCUGCCGACAUAAAACCCGAAAUAACUGGGAUCGAUAUAAAAUUCACCAUAAACCCUGCGGGAAUAAUCACAUUUAUCAAUUCUACAUCGGCGUAUAAUUAUGAUUGAUACAAUGGAAAAAACGACGAAAAACAUGGCAAAAGAAUAAUUCUAUGCAUCCUGCCUAAAAAACAGAAGAGCACUACGAAAUCUUGCGGCAUGUCCCGCGUGUAUUGUAAUGUCAGGAGGGCCAUUAAAGACGAUGGACCAAUUGAGAUUUCCUUGAUAGUUCCGAAAAUAAUGUACAGGAAACCACCCACGAAACAAGAAUACAAGCCAUACUGUAAACAUUAUUUACAAUGUGAUAUCUC